ANAGUUUGAUCAUGGCUCAGGACCAACGCUAGCGGCAGGCUUAACACAUCGCAAGUCGAGGGGUAUAGGUUUUCGGACCUAGAGACCGGCGCACGGGUGCGUAACGCGUAUGCAAUCUACCUUUUACAGAGGGAUAGCCCAGAGAAAUUUGGAUUAAUACCUCGUAGUAUUAUUGAAUAGGCAUCAUUUAAUAAUUAAAGUUCCAACGGUAAAAGAUGAGCAUGCGUCCCAUUAGCUAGAUGGUAAGGUAACGGCUUACCAUGGCGACGAUGGGUAGGGGUCCUGAGAGGGAGAUCCCCCACACUGGUACUGAGACACGGACCAGACUCCUACGGGAGGCAGCAGUGAGGAAUAUUGGUCAAUGGGCGCAAGCCUGAACCAGCCAUGCCGCGUGCAGGAUGACGGUCCUAUGGAUUGUAAACUGCUUUUGUACAGGAAGAAACACUGGUUCGUGAACCAGCUUGACGGUACUGUAAGAAUAAGGAUCGGCUAACUCCGUGCCAGCAGCCGCGGUAAUACGGAGGAUCCAAGCGUUAUCCGGAAUCAUUGGGUUUAAAGGGUCCGUAGGCGGUUUUGUAAGUCAGUGGUGAAAGCCCAUCGCUCAACGGUGGAACGGCCAUUGAUACUGCAAGACUUGAAUUACUAGGAAGUAACUAGAAUAUGUAGUGUAGCGGUGAAAUGCUUAGAUAUUACAUGGAAUACCAAUUGCGAAGGCAGGUUACUACUAGUGGAUUGACGCUGAUGGACGAAAGCGUGGGGAGCGAACAGGAUUAGAUACCCUGGUAGUCCACGCCGUAACGAUGGAUACUAGCUGUUCGAGAGCAAUCUUGAGUGGCUAAGCGAAAGUGAUAAGUAUCCCACCU
This 863-nucleotide ribosomal RNA is filed under the name uncultured bacterium. RNAcentral describes it as "bacterial SSU rRNA". It matches the Rfam family "Bacterial small subunit ribosomal RNA", at positions 9 to 873 of the family's 1533-position model. The record is from RNAcentral.